Triticum dicoccoides is the source of this 1410-nucleotide long non-coding RNA. RefSeq lists it as uncharacterized. The transcript is spliced from 2 exons. The record is from RefSeq and is a predicted model, not a curated record. Lineage: Eukaryota; Viridiplantae; Streptophyta; Magnoliopsida; Poales; Poaceae.
CACCAGGCUGUUUCUUCACUUUCCCAUUCUGUACUCUUCUUGACUUCUCAAUUCUUCUUUCGCACUCACACAGCGAGAUGUUCCUCUAGCCCGAUCCCCUUUCUCCUUUCCCCAAUCUCUCUGGUCACUCCAAAAUUGCUGCUGCCGAAUAGCUCCCAUCAACUCUGUUGUUCAUGCUCACCUGCAGCCACCCCCGCAAAUGGUGCUUCCAUAGUGUAUCCGUCGACGGCGGCUGGUAUGGUCCCUCAUAUGCCUCGGUCUCCUUGGAUUUUGAAUGGCGAUGGAUAGUAGGGCCGAAAGAUUAGCCGCAGCAAGGAGGAGGCGUGAUCAUUCAUCUGCAAAGUGCCGUUAUUGUAGGCGUCCGUACAGUUGAUUUGGGCGUGGAUUUCGUCUCCUGUAGCCUCGCUUGGAUCCAGCUUGAGUAUUAGGAUGCCGGCGACAUUGUCUUCCCCAAGUGCGCAAGGCAGACACAUUGUUUGUAUUCCCGCUCGAGGUAGUCGGGCACGUCGUCGUCAUCCCCCACGGCGUCAACAAUCUCCAAAGUUGAAAGUCUGCCCUGCAGAGAAGGUGUGACCGGGGGCUAUGAGCUGUACCAUUGUAGACAUGGACGAUGAUGCUGAGAGGAUCCAUACCGAUGCACAUCAAGUGCGUCUGGUUCUCCAAUAUCCAAACACCCUGGUUAGUGGUUCUCCAAUAUCCAGUUGCGCUGACUAGUGGUUCUCCUAGUGGAACUGGACGCCAAGACCAAUAUGGCGAUUGUACACUGGUGCGGGUCCAUCAUCCAUCAUAGUGGUUCUCAAAGCAUUCUUCACCAAGUGUUCUUCACCAAAUGAUCUUCGCCAUCUCCUUUGAUAGGUAUGUAGUAUGAACAUGAGCAGGGAGCGGCGUAGCAUACGCUCGGCUGGGCGUCCAUGAGAUCGUUGGUGGCGAAGCCGACCUUGUCAAGGUUGUAGCUCUUGUUGUCGAGCCGGACACAGGCGACACACACUUCGUGGUUGAGCCCGACAUAAGGCAUGCGAUAGGCUGUUGAGCUCUCUGUAGAUCUGUGUCUUUUCUAGUAAACAAUUUAACAAUAGGUGGUAUGCAUGAACAGAUAUAGCAUCAUUUUUUUUCUGAAUCCAGUAAAUAGAAAGGGCUAAAUUAGUACAAACACGCAAUCAGUAUCUAUGCAUUAUGAUCUAAAUAUAAUAUAAAAAUAGAUUUUUGCUAAUAGUCAGAGUAAUUUGAAACAACCUCUGUUUUGCUAAUGAUUAAAGAUUAAUUUCUCAUCUAACUUGUUCAAGGCGUAAGACAAAGCAAAACUAAAAAAAUAAAAUCAGUUCCAUCUAUCUUAUUCACCUUCUCUUGCUAACUCGCCCCUCUUUAGAUAUAUAGUCGGUGUAGUGACCCUAGCAAGUUGCAGUAGAGCUA